UGAGUAGUGCAGAGGNAGGCGGAAUNCCCGGUGUAGCGGUGGAAUGCGUAGAUAUCGGGAGGAACACCAGUGGCGAAGGCGGCCUACUGGGCACCAACUGACGCUGAGGCUCGAAAGCAUGGGUAGCAAACAGGAUUAGAUACCCUGGUAGUCCAUGCCGUAAACGAUGAUUACUAGGUGUUGGAGGAUUGACCCCUUCAGUGCCGCAGUUAACACAAUAAGUAAUCCACCUGGGGAGUACGACCGCAAGGUUGAAACUCAAAGGAAUUGACGGGGGCCCGCACAAGCAGUGGAGUAUGUGGUUUAAUUCGAAGCAACGCGAAGAACCUUACCAGGUCUUGACAUCGGAUGCAUAGUGCAGAGAUGCAUGAAGCCCUUCGGGGCAUCCAGACAGGUGGUGCAUGGUUGUCGUCAGCUCGUGUCGUGAGAUGUUGGGUUAAGUCCCGCAACGAGCGCAACCCUUACGGUCAGUUACUACGCAAGAGGACUCUGGCCGGACUGCCGUUGACAAAACGGAGGAAGGUGGGGAUGACGUCAAAUCAUCAUGUCCUUUAUGACCUGGGCUACACACGUACUACAAUGGCGUUUAACAAAGAGAAGCGAAGCCGCGAGGCGGAGCAAAACUCAAAAACAACGUCCCAGUUCAGACUGCAGGCUGCAACUCGCCUGCACGAAGUCGGAAUUGCUAGUAAUCGCGGAUCAGCAUGCCGCGGUGAAUACGUUCCCGGGCCUUGUACACACCGCCCGUCACACCAUGAGAGCCGGGGGGACCCGAAGUCGGUAGUCUAACCGCAAGGAGGACGCCGCCGAAGGUAAAACUGGUGAUUGGGGUGAAGUCGUAACAAGGUAACCA
RNAcentral lists this ribosomal RNA (853 nucleotides) under uncultured bacterium. RNAcentral's name for it is "bacterial SSU rRNA". It matches the Rfam family "Bacterial small subunit ribosomal RNA", at positions 642 to 1502 of the family's 1533-position model. The record is from RNAcentral.